GAUUGCCCAGCUACCGUAAAGCUGAAAGGGUUGACCGUGUUUACAUCCGACGAUUUGGUCUUGUUGACGUUGAUGGUAAUACCUGCCACUGAUGAGCGAUCGGCAAGAUCAUCGAGCUUGCUCUGCAUAUCAGAGCACCGUUGAGCUAGGAGAGCAACGUCAUCAGCCAGAUCGAAGUCAUUUAGGUGCUCCAUGGUAAUGGGCCGCCACAGCAAUCCUCGAUUUGAUUCACGGUCAAUCGCACCAACCAGGAUCUCGUCGAUUACGACGAGGAACAGUAGCGGUUAUAGUAGGGUAAUGGUUCCCUUAUUAAGCAUGUAGCUCCCAUUUUCAUCCCACGAAAAACAAAGGAUUGAAGCGCUGUUUGUUUUGUUUCUUAUUUUUGUAUUUUUUGUUAGAAGUGAGCACCCAUGAAAACAAAAAGAACGUAGUCAAUCGGUGCCGUAAUCGCUUGUUUUCGAAUAGGAUGAAAAUGGGAGCAUGAGAUUACUGAUGGCACACAUACCCUAUACAUCCUUGUCUCACUCCAGCAACGACCCGGAUGGGAUCGGACAAAACACCGUUGUGCAGUACUCUGCACGGAAAUCCCCUGUACUGUGCUUCAAUGAGGCCGAUGAUUUUCUCAGGGAGUCCCUUGCGCCUGAGGGCUUCCCACAUGUUUUCGUGAUUGAGACGGUCGAAAGCUUUUUCGUCACCAGGGUGCGAGGCCGCCAUUUUUAAGAAUCUAACACCUUGUAUGUAAACAUUUGUGUAUCCACAAAGGAUUCCAUUGUGGAUACACGAUAGAUGUUGGCUCCUGUCAGAUGCAUUAGGUGGGAUUAGGGUUGCCACAUACGUGUUUUUCGUAAUCAAUGAACACCAGGUAGAGAGACUCUUGGCAUUCAUUUGUCUACAACAGGAUCGUUUCACUUCCUUCUCGAGAGCCGAAUAGCGCUGACGGGCUACGGCUUUGGAUCCUCGUGGUUUCGCUCAUUCUCUCGCUACUUUGGCGUUCUUUCGAUCCUCUGCCGUCUUCCAUGUGUCUUCUGCGAUGCACUAUGCACUGCAUUAUCUGAGUGCGUAGCUCACCUAAAUUAUUCUCGCCGGUGGAGAUGAAGGCGUUCUUGAUGGCACUCCAUUUAUCUUCUUCUGUUUUAUUAUCCGGAAUAUCCGCAGCUCGGUUCUCCAGCACCUCGAACCUUUUCCCCUCAGCGUCUUCCAGUCAGUGUGUGUUGAACCGGCGCCCGGUUUUCAUCUCUCUAAAAUAAAAGCUCUCAUUUUUGGGUAACACCCAUGCCGCACAGGGACUGUGUUGGAAACACACAUUUUUAAAAUUGCUCGUACGCUCACAUUUUUGCAAAAUAUCAAUAUUUUUCGGUAUUUGAAGGUGAAAAAAAAAACGAUCAAAUCUGACUAUACAUGUCAAUGGUUGCUACUCCGUUAUUGAUCUGAGCUGGUACCAAUUGCACUGAGAUCCAAAUGAAUAAGGGCUGGGACACUCCACUUAUUCUCAAAGUGCAAUUCUAGCAGCUCAUACAUUUUGGAUCAAUACCGGCGCCGGCCACGUCCUUAUAGUCAGUUGGGAAGGGAAAGGAAUGUUAGAGUGUGCUGGUUGUUGCUACUAAAGACCGAGAUCACCUCUGCAUCCCCACACCCAGCACGGACUGGGGUAUUUGUUAGACGGAAAGGAUGGGAGAUCUGGGAGUCACCGUUGGGUCGGUGAUGCGAUCCAUGGAUAGGGGUUAUUUUUAUAAUGUAUAGAUUGUGUGAUGAAUGAGGUGAAUAAGGUCAAGCGGCACAGCACGCUUUGGUUGCAUAACUUGUAGGCGUUAUAUACACUGUGCUGUGAGUGGAAAUUGGAAAAGAGGGAAACGACUUUUUUCCAAUUCGUUUCUGGUUCUAGCGAUGGCUAUGAACAUAUGAAUAUACAUGAGCUGUAUAUGUAGAGAGGAGAGAGAGAGAGAGAGAGAGAGAGAGAGAGAGUGAGAGGAAGUGGAUAGAAAGAUACAAAGUAGGAUGAAAAGGGACGGGCCAGGGAUUGAACCCAUGACCUUCUGCAUACGAAUCAGAAGCGGUAGCCACUAGACCACCAAGCCCGUCUCAUAUUUUUCGGUAUUUGAAGGUGGUUUAUAAACUCAGUGAGGUUGCCAUGUGGAAAUUAUUGCAAAAUACAUGUUCAUGUGAGCGUACGAGCAAUUUAAAAAAAAUGUGUGUUUCCAACACAGUCAUGUGCGGCAUGGAUGUUUACUAAAAAUGUACAGGCCGAACACAUUUUUGAGCGUAGCCGUUUUUGCGUGAUCUCCUUUCGAUGGAUCCCAGCAACGUGUAGCCGGAUCUCGCCGAUUAGGACAUGAUGGUCGGCGCUACGUUUGUUCAGCAUAUCGAGCGAUCCCCCAAUCAUCAUGUCAUUGUUGCCACAACAAUGUUGACUAUGUUGACUAUUUAUUAGAAUCUUCUUUUGAGUGCGUGUCAUAAUUGACUCUAGGAACUUCGCCAGAAAUUUCUCCACAAGUCCAAAAGAAUAUUGUUAAGUUCUGUUCAAGAUAAUAUUUGUGUGGUGUCCGCAGAGGAACUUCGUAGAGAAAUUUCCUGGAAACUGUGUGAACGAAAAUAGACGAACUUCUAUUUAAGGGUAUUUCCAAAGGUCUUCUGACCCAGUUUUUGGAUUUCCCGUGAUUUUGCGCUACUGAUUCGCUUUAGGGGCAGGCGGGGCAUAAUGAGCAGCUUAAGCAUUUAGUCACCAAAUCCAGUAAAUCCUUAUUUCAAGAAAUAGCCUUUUAUAGUCGUGGGAAGAAAGGGGUUAAGGAGUUUCUAAACGUCAAUAAGUAAUAGGGGAACUUACGCAUUUUCGGCCGUUUUGUUCUCUUCGUCAUGAGGGGGUUUAAAAACUUGUUUAACUCAAAUUUUGCCUCAAAUCUUUCCCAAAUAAGCUGAGUUAUACGACCAAGUUUUAAGCAAUUUGGCCGACAAAAAAAACUCUUAUAACUGGAUAAUACGCUUUGUAGAUUAGGCCUGUCCACCUGUGUUUUUCAGGGCACUGUCAAAGUUACCCCGAAAUAAAAAUCUGAAUCUCGCUCAUAUGAAAAACUCAAAGUCACCCAAAAUAUUUAAAAUCAUCAAAUCUUUCAAUUGCAAUUGAUAACUGAUACCCCAGUACUUGUUUUAAAAAUAUAAAAGUAGGGGAAAUACUGUUACAUGAAAAAAUAAUAAGUAAAUUCGUUAAAAAACUAUCAAAGCUACCCCAUUUUACGGUAACCAAAAAACAUGAGAGUUAUAUGAUGCCGUUUUAAAAUAUCAAACUUAUUAGGUAUAUUAGGGUAUUCCAGAACAAAAUCUAUCAAAAAAUCAACUUUUAAGGUUUUUCUGAUCACAAAUGUGAUAAUUACACAUGUUUCCUUCAAUUUUAUUGGCACACGUUGAUCGGAGAAGUUGUAGCAAGCAAGUAUAGCUUUCAAUUUCUGCCGAAAUAAUUAAGUUUUGACAAGUUUUAGUGUAGUUAUGAUUUUUUGAAGUUCAAAAAUAGUCGAGAACACAAAAUUGGUUUGAUGCACCUCUUAAUUUCAAUGGAUUUGGCUGGAAUUUUGACCAGUUACUUCUUUUACGUUGCCAAUCAAAAUAUGGGAGUGGACUUGAGAAUCAGAGAACAUUUUUGAAAAGCUGGACAGGCCUACUAUAGAUAUUGAUUUUUCCAAGUUAAAUUUGAAGUUUUUUGGCAAAACCUUACUAUAAUAGGCAUCAAAACAAAGCAAAAUUAAAACUGAAAUUUGUUGAGAUAUUAUUAUUUUUCAUUGGUUACUCAUUUUGCUCCCAUCCUACUAUAUAAAGACUUUUUAAACUAUAUUUUUUCAACAAAACAUUUUACAGAUAUUUGAAAAAUGUUAUGAAUACAUUUAAUUGACUCAGGAAAUAUCGAGAAACUCGAUAAUAUUUCGUCAUUCAUUCAAUGGGUUGACUAAGGUACAAUGGAACAAUUUGUGCUGAAUAUGUGAAAGUUUAUAGUGAAAUGCAGGGUGCUCACUGCUCAUUAUGCCCACCUGCUUAUUAUGCCACACCAUCCUCUGCUUUACUUUUCAAGCUUAUCCCUUUAUAAGGCAGUGGCAACUAUAUUGCCAACUUAUACACUAAUUUUUUUCUGUUCGUUUAGAAAAUUUUUACAACUUCUGUUUUAACUGAUGGAUACAUUAGGUCUUUGUGAACACUCAUGAUUUUUUUGAGCCAUAACAAAUAUGAAUGGGCUUUUUAAGAACAAAAUGUCUCUCCAAAAACAUUCAUUUUUGAGUGCAUGAAGGUUUAUAAGCUCGAAAUUCUGUUAUGGUGAGCGAAUUGAAAAUCGAAUGAUGAGGAAUAAAAGGCCUAUGUUCCUUUUACUUGUGGACAAAAUUUCAACUGAAUUGCUUCAUUAUUAUUAAAAACUCAGCCUUUUGAAAAAAUGUACUAUAAUAAAUGGGCAUGUACUAAACUGCCGUGAAUCACAAGUCAGUCCCAUCUGCAUUUUAGACAAAAAUGAGUAAAUGGCCGUUUUCGAGCUUUCUUCGGAUGAUCUUUUAGCUGCGAGCAAAAAAAUUUAUAGUUUGUUCAGUAAAAUUGAAAAACAACACCAAGUCAGAUUGUCCCAUGAUGAAAAGUAAUCGCAAGUCAGUCCCAUUACGAACUUGUGCACCCUUCAGUACCAAACCUAACACUAUUUUAGCCAGUUUUAUAUUUUUCACUGUUACGUUUUCACGUUUGAAACAAUAUGUGAAAGUUUAAUGAUGAUCGCAGAAGUUUUCAAUUCUUGGCGAUUUUUUAGAGUUCCACAUAGAAAUCGAAUUUGAAAACUUCAGAGGCCAUUUUCUCAAUGCCUACUUUUACAUAUGGGACUGACUUGCGAUUCACGGCAGUACAAUUGCCAUAACUUCCAAAAUAAUUAACCAAUCGAGUUCAAAUCCACACAAGUAACUCAUGAAUAUUAGGGCAAUAACCUGUCAAAAAAUCAGCAUGAUUGAUUAACGCAUCACAAAAUAACAACAUUUUAAACUUUGUUGACAAAAAGUUGAAAUUUAGACCAAUUUUUUUCAUACAAAAUCGACCAUCGAAUUUUUUGAAAAUAAAAACGUUUUUGUUCAUUACACCACAUGUACUUUCACGGUGCCCCCACAGACCGUUAUUAUAAAAUAAAAAUGUCCAUAAAAACUAAGUUCAGGGAUCGAAUCCUGGUGCCAUUCUGCACCUCUGGGCAAAUUUUUAAAAUAAUCCCUAGGAGGAAUCUCGAGAAAUCUCGAUUUGAUGUUUUAUACUAAGAAAUUUCAAAGAAAUCCAUGUUCAGAUUGGACAAUAUCGUUUAAAUACCUACACAAACUUUCCCUAAAGUGUUCAAAGUUGUUUCAAACCCGUAUUUAUUUAAUAACGUUACUUCAAUUAUACAUAUUUACUACUCAUCUAAAUCAAUUAGCUGAUUAAACUGACUUACCAAACAUUUGGCAGUGUACAAAAAUCAGAAAAAAGAUGCAAAAAACGUUGCUUGUCAUGUGUGCUUUUGAUUACCAACGUUAGGGUUAGAAAAACUGGAGUAGGUCUUUGAACACAGUUUUCUUAAAAUGAAUAACGUUUUCAGUCACAAUAGUCGAAAACAAAUUUAUACUUUUUUUCGAUAUUGCUUAGCAUUUGAAAAGGGGCGUUCAGUGUUUAGUAAUUGUAUUGUUCCUUGCUGUAAAUGUAUCGCUCCUAUAUGGGGCGAGUAUGACACAUAAUCGAUCCGAUGACCGUAAGGACGUGGCCAGCGCCGUUAUUGACUUUCAAAUGUUGAACUCUCGAAUUGUGCACAUUGAGAAUGGUUAGCUAGCCCCAAGCCUUGCUUUCAUUCGUUCUCUGUGCAACUCUGGUAAAUCACGGAGUAGCAACUACGGUGUGUACGAUUAACUUUGAUUUGCUUUGCCUAGAAUUUUGAACAUUUUUUUCAAUGAAAAGUGCUACAUAUUCUUGCACAUGAACACUAGAAAAUUACUGAGAAAUAUGUGUUAACCCUGUAACACCCAAAUUUUUUAUUUUGAUCUAAAUAUCAUUUUUUGUCAUUUAAAAUCAAUUAAACAUGUUUUGGAAGAUGAUUCUUUUUAACUCUCGAUUUCGUGAAUUUCAGUUUUUAAUUUUUAUAAUUUUUAUUUUUGAACGUCCCCACAGUUUUAUAUUUUUCCUGGAAGCUUAUUUGGGGUGUGGAUUUUUUGAGAUGAAAACAUUUUGAGAUUUUAUGAUUAUUAUUGAAAUAUUUUUGUUUUAAUUUUUAUUCACAGAAAAUUUUAUUUUCCGUAUAAUUUAACGGAAAAUAAUUUUAGAGUGUAUUCGAUUCCCUUAAACUUUAAAACUAGGAAAGAAUGUGUUGCGACGGUAUUGCAUGUAUUUGAGUGAAACUGGCAACUGUCCUAUCCAAUAGGAAUUAAUUGAAUGUGAAUGUACAUAUUAGAAUUGUAAGGAGAUUUAGUGUUAAGUUGAGCGUUGAGUGGAAGAGUUCGUUAGUGAUUAAGAAACUAUCAACAUUGAAGCUGCCGUUAUCAAACGCUGCUCUCGAUAUGUGUUUCCCUAAUCCCGAAGAAACUCGCGCCAACAAACUUCAAUGUUGAUAAAUCAUCAACACAAAGAGAUCGGUAUGGCUACCCGACUGGACGCCCUCAAGCAGCAACUCGAAGAGUUCGAAGUCCGGAGAGCGCUUUGGCGAAAACAGUGCCAGGAUGAAGAAAGACGCAUGGCACUGGAAUUCGAGCGCGAGUUUGCGGAGAUGGAUGAAAAGUUCUCCAAAGCGAUGGAGAAAAUUGAAUUGGAGUACACGGCGAAAAAAGAGGCACUAAUGUGCAAAUAUAGUGGGAAAGGUGUCCGAGUACAAUCGACAACAGUAAGGUCCGAUUCGUGCAACGACAAAACCCAAUUACAGUUUGCCUGCUCCAAUCCAAUCAAAACGACAUCCCAACCACAUUUCGUUGCUCCGCGAACGCAACUAACCAAGCCGCCUUCAGUCGGCUGCGAUGACAACAAAGGCAUCCCGCACACGGUCCCAUCGUAUCGACGACGACGACCAACCGUUCUAACAGGAAUCAAUCAGCAUACAGCGUGCGCCUAUCUUCUGAUUCAACAGAGAUAGAAGCGAAACAAUCGACGGUGAAUAUGCUACAAAAAAGUGCAGUAAAGAAAGCCCGCGUGGUCGUCAGUGUUGGUCGCAACGCUGUUUCUAGAUGUAUUGUUUUCGACCCCGGCGGAGCUGCUCUGCACAUUACAGUGCACAGUGGCACAGAAAGGUAUUAUUUGAAAACUUUAUUUCCAACAAUUAAAAUGUAUAUAGAUUCAAAAAGUGAUGAGAUAGUUAGUUACCAGUUGUCACGGAGGGGAGAAUGUUGCGACGGUAUCGCAUGUAUUUGAGUGAAACUGGCAACUGUCCUAUCCAAUAGGAAUUAAUUGAAUGUGAAUGUACAUAUUAGAAUUGUAAGGAGAUUUAGUGUUAAGUUGAGCGUUGAGUGGAAGAGUUCGUUAGUGAUUAAGAAACUAUCAAGUAAGUUAAUUUUAAGUAAAACCAUGUAAAUAAUUAAAAUGAAUUCUUUAAAAUAUAGCAUUGAAGCUGCCGUUAUCAAACGCUGCUCUCGAUAUGUGUUUCCCUAAUCCCGAAGAAACUCGCGCCAACAGAAUGAUUUGGGAAAAAAAUUAAAUAUGUUAAUUGUAGCGACUCAAUACAAAAUAAACAAUAACUUCUGAAAGGUGACUAAAACAUCGAUUUUUCAAUGAUUUAAAAAAAAAAUGUAAAUACGCUUUAAAAUAUACCAAAAACCAUUUUGAGAUAUACAAAACAGUCCUAAAUAUCAGCCAAAAAUAUAAAAAAAUGAUUUUUCACGAAACAAAAAUUACAAAAAUGCUCAAACUAUACCCCGUCUAAAGGCGGGGUAGAGUAUUAGAGGGUUAAAUAAAGAUCUAAUAGUACACCAAUUUUGGAAGAACAGGAAACUACGACGUUAACAUGGGACACGGUUUAUAUGCGAAAAUAUAAAAAAAAUGCAAAAACUCUAGUUCUUGUAUACUUUUUGAGUUCCAUUUUGGUCCCAUAUCAACUGUACAAAAUAUCAGGUCGAUCGGGAAAACUAUUUUUUUGCCGAUAUUCUUAAUUUUUCAGACGAUUUUAUGAGAAAAUUUACUUUUUCAAUGGAAAAUCGCUUGGGGUCACCCCUUGGUCCCUAAAAAUAAUUCCACGAAUGAUUUCUGUAGCAAACUUCACGAUGAAUUAGACCUCCGAAGACCGCAAAGCGAUGCGAAGUUCAUGGAAAAAAGUUAUGAAGCCUUACCCGAUCGAUAAAAUGACGAGAUUUGAUUAAGGUACACCGGGGCAAGUUAAAACGUGUGGGGCAAGAUGAAACGCGAAGUUUUGAAAUAGAUUUCAAUAUAAUUUGGAAAUUUAUCCAUCGCCAGAAGAUUGUUUGAACCAAAAACUAUGUGUUAUGGCAAUCAAACUGUUUACUAUCAUUAGAUAACAUCAUGUUGACCCGCCGUUUCAUCUUACCCCACCCGUUUCAACUUGCCCCGGUGUACCUUAUUUAUUGUUAUUCCUUACAUGUAAAACAGCGUUUCCAUGCUAUUCGGUUUUCAGUCAAUAACUUUUUCCACAUAUCUUAGAUCCCUUUGUGGUCUUCGGAGGGUUGGUUCCUCGUAAUAUAGUAAACAUGUUGUAGAAUUAGGGAAAAUUUUAAUGUAUAACACUGGGAUGUGUAUGUUCAUAAAACAAUAGGGAAAAAUCGCUUUUCAAUGCUUACGUUAAAACCGAUGCAUGGCUUGGAAAAACAUACUUAUGUCAGUUUCGUCAGUUAAUUGAGUUGGGUGAGUAGUAAAUAUGUAUAAAAAAAGUUGCGUUGGUAAAUAUAUACUGGUUUGAAACAACUUUGAAUACUUUGGGGAGUUUUUUUUGUAGGUAUUUAAGCGAUAUUGUUGAAUCUGAACAUGGAUUUCUUUGAAAUUUCUUAGUAUAAAACAUCAAAUCGAGAUUUCUCGAGAUUCCUCCUAGGGAUUAUUUUAAAAAUUUGCCCAGAGGUGCAGAAUGGCACCAGGUUUCGACCCCUAAACUUAGUUUUGAUGGACAUUUUUAUUUUAUAAUAGCGGUCUGUGGGGGCACCGUGACUUUAUAACACCGCUAGCCAUGAUGGUCUCCAAUAGCGGAAGGUCCGAAAGAGAUUGAAACUAUUGAGAAAUCAUCAUGUCUACAGGUCGUAAGCCCUGAUAAAGUGUGGAACGUUUUGAUGGCUGUGAUCCCUGACCAUCAUGUCAAAACCCAGGGAUACCCAAAGUGACCAUACUGUUAGGGUGUAGGGGUUGCAUGUGUGAGGCGCAUAUAUUGACAGGCAUUGCUAUGGACCGUUAGGGCUGAGUAGGGUCGAGGAAUGGAUCUACGAUUGCUGAAUUAUACUAAAAAAUUCGUGAUUCAGCAGUGGUGGCACCGCUUUCCGCUUUUGUUCGGCCUUGGUGGUUUGUGUGGGGUAGUGCGUGUCGGUGUGUGUGCUUUGUGCGUGCGGUGCUUACGGCUUCAGCAGGGUGAUUACUUGGGUAGUGUGGGAUAAUUGGGUUUGGGACUGAGGGGGUCGUCGUUGAUAAGGCCGACAUCAUUGAGUGCUCAGUGUUGGCGGUUGUAUUGGUGACGAUUUCUUCAGCCUUAAGAUCUCAUUUAUACCACGUACAGAUUUUUGGGAAGAGGGAGUACUUUGUAAUGCAAGAGAGGGAUUUAAACUCUGCGUUACGGGUUGGGCGAGGUCAUGCAGAUAGACUCAACCCAGGUGACCGUGCGGCUCGGACAGUGAUGCAUGAAUGAGUGCGGUGUGGGUGAGGUGCGCUGCCCUGUGGGUGCAGUUGAGUCCGGGUUGGAGUGGAAAGAGACCCUUCUCUACUCUAGGUCGGUUUCGGUUGUACGGGCGUGGUAGUGUUUGUCUUAUUUGUGCCGUGUUGUGCGUGAUUUGCGGCUCGAGCUGCGUGGUUACUUGGGAAGUAUUGUACUCUGUAAUCUAGAUUUUGGUUUUAAGAUGAAGCUAAGGCUGGGCUGUGCCUCGGAUUUGUUGGGCGCAGGUCGGGAGAGCUGGUGGCAGUUUGUGCUGGGGGGUUUACUCGAUUGGUUAUUCACUGAUGGUGGCCAGUCGAUCGACUUAUCGGCGCUGCCUGUCAUUUGGUUCUUGGGGUUUGUGCUCUCGAGGUUCGGGGCGUUGCUUCGUUGUAUCUUUGCUUUAAUACUAACACGUUGUUUGAUUUAAUUGACUGUGUUUUACAGGCGUUUAACUCAUUCUAUUUCAUAGAUUGCCAAAUUUAAGGGUAAUGGUUCAAUAGGGUGUUAGCUAUCAGAGUGGAUUAGAACGAGUUGGCGCCUACAAUACACCAACACUGACACACACACUCCAAUACUUACACGCACACAUGCACCUACAACUAGCUGUAAAAGACCAGUGGGCGGGACAAUGGUGCCUACCCAACAGUUGUAGGUGGGGUGUUUGGCUUAGCUACAUGACUUGGUCCGGCAAGCCCAUAAACAUCAAUUGGUAGACGUAUUGCCUAGUGAAAAGACAACGCAGAUGGGCGAAAGCCAGGGGAUGCGUUGAUAAUAGCAGAAUAGAAUAGCAGAAUAAUAACGGUCUGUAGGGGCACCGUGACUUUAUAUUCCAAUGUAGAACGAGUGGAUUCCGUGCCUGGUUCUCUCCGCCUUAUAAAGGGUUAUAGGCUUUUCCCAACUGCGCACUGUGAUCGAAGAAAUGCGGUUUCUUGGGCGAUCCAGGCUAGGCAUUUACCAUAUGGUAUGCCUCAAGAUAGGAUGAAACAUUCUUUCUGAAUUGCAAUCAGCCCUUAUACCUUAACCAUCGGUCCAUAAUUCUAAUCAUCUCGUUACAGAAUACGAAUGAAUUGUCAAAAAGAACCCCUACUAGAGAAAUCCAUGAGAAGAUUCUGACAUGAAGUAUUGUUGGAAUUCCAAAUAAAUUACUCCGGAAAUCCUUGUGAAUGCCAUUUGCAUUAUUUUAUGUUUAACUCUCUUAAACACAACUGGAAUAAAAGUCAAAAAUCUCAAAACAGUAUAGACAAUUUUCUAUUUGGUAUAAACAAAAUCUUUUGAUAAAACCUUUCUUCAGUCGCGCAGUUGGCCACCGCCACCAUCACGCUAAUGCUGAGUAGGUACAAAAAGCGAGAUUUUUUCGACAUGUUAUGUUCCGUAUUUAGCAUAUAGGAUCUAGUUUAAAAAAAUCACAAAAAAUCUCAUAUAAAAGGAGUAAUAAUGAUUAUUAUGGACUUUCAUUACCAAGGGAAAUUCAUGUUCUAAGCAAAUUCCCGGUAUUUUUCCGGUUGUUUGCAAUUCCCGAUUUUCUCGGUUGAGUAGUCACCCUGUAAGUUGGAGGUGGAUUUUCGUUACAUUAGCUUGUUUCCAACACUUGAUUGAGGAUAUCAUGAAAAUAAUUUUGUAAAAUAUAACUGUAGUCGAUAGUUUAAAUUUAGCAAUAACUAAACUUGUGAACUAUUGAGCUAAAUGUACCCCUAGCAUGAAUCCCUAGUUACACCAACGAUUAAGAGCAUGCUGCACUGCAGGAAAAGUUGCACUUGAACCGGGUUAAAUCAAGCCGAUUCUAGGUCACUGUCCUUGACUACUAUGCAAGUACGCAUAGUCAGUCGAUCUCAUUGUUAACAAGAUUUUCCAACAGUCUAAAGUAAGUUGAUUGAGAAUGGCCAUUGACCAACACAUACAACGAUAAACG
Long non-coding RNA from Aedes albopictus (Asian tiger mosquito), 11699 nucleotides. RefSeq lists it as uncharacterized. The transcript has 3 exons. The record is from RefSeq and is a predicted model, not a curated record. Lineage: Eukaryota; Metazoa; Arthropoda; Insecta; Diptera; Culicidae.